RNAcentral lists this unclassified non-coding RNA (345 nucleotides) under Hevea brasiliensis (rubber tree). Lineage: Eukaryota; Viridiplantae; Streptophyta; Magnoliopsida; Malpighiales; Euphorbiaceae. The record is from RNAcentral.
UCUCUCUCUCUCUCUCUCUUAAUUUUCUUCCUUUCAAUAGGUCAAUAGCCUGGUGAAGUAGUCACCGAGAGGCAUGAAUUAUAGAAAUAGAUGCUUUAACAAUAUUAGAGGACAGCAAGAUAAUGAAAGGUUUGAUGGAAAUCAAUGAAUCUAAGAUAUGUUAACAGGAAUCAGCAUUUAGCUACACAAGCAGAUGUCCAUCUAGAAAGGGAAUUGAGGAGGAUACCAAGUUGGAUUAAUUAGAUUGGAAAACAUGAUUACAACAUGAAAAAGAUUUGAUGCAACAAACUCUUGCAAAUGAUAUCACAAAACAGAAGGCAAGAACUUUAAAACCGAAUAACUUAC